RNAcentral lists this transfer RNA (67 nucleotides) under Rhagophthalmus lufengensis. RNAcentral's name for it is "tRNA-Ser". Lineage: Eukaryota; Metazoa; Arthropoda; Insecta; Coleoptera; Rhagophthalmidae. The record is from RNAcentral.
AGUUAAUGAGCUUGUAAUUAAGCAUAUAUUUUGAAAAUAUAACAAAGAAAUAAAUUUCUAUUAACUU